This 456-nucleotide ribosomal RNA is filed under the name uncultured bacterium. Its description in RNAcentral is "partial 16S ribosomal RNA". It matches the Rfam family "Bacterial small subunit ribosomal RNA", at positions 34 to 507 of the family's 1533-position model. The record is from RNAcentral.
CGCUGGCGGCGUGCUUAACACAUGCAAGUCGAACGGAAAGGCCCUUCGGGGUACUCGAGUGGCGAACGGGUGAGUAACACGUGGGUGAUCUGCCCUGCACUUUGGGAUAAGCCUGGGAAACUGGGUCUAAUACCGAAUAGGACCACGCGCUUCAUGGUGUGUGGUGGAAAGCUUUUGCGGUGUGGGAUGGGCCCGCGGCCUAUCAGCUUGUUGGUGGGGUAAUGGCCUACCAAGGCGACGACGGGUAGCCGGCCUGAGAGGGUGACCGGCCACACUGGGACUGAGAUACGGCCCAGACUCCUACGGGAGGCAGCAGUGGGGAAUAUUGCACAAUGGGCGCAAGCCUGAUGCAGCGACGCCGCGUGAGGGAUGACGGCCUUCGGGUUGUAAACCUCUUUCACCAGGGACGAAGCGUAAGUGACGGUACCUGGAGAAGAAGCACCGGCCAACUACGUG